This 449-nucleotide ribosomal RNA is filed under the name uncultured bacterium. Its description in RNAcentral is "partial 16S ribosomal RNA". It matches the Rfam family "Bacterial small subunit ribosomal RNA", at positions 29 to 523 of the family's 1533-position model. The record is from RNAcentral.
AACGAACGCUGGCGGCAUGCCUAACACAUGCAAGUCGAACGAGACUUUCGGGUCUAGUGGCGCACGGGUGCGUAACGCGUGGGAAUCUACCCUUGGGUUCGGAAUAACAGUUAGAAAUGACUGCUAAUACCGGAUGAUGACGUAAGUCCAAAGAUUUAUCGCCCAAGGAUGAGCCCGCGUAAGAUUAGCUUGUUGGUGGGGUAAUGGCCUACCAAGGCGACGAUCUUUAGCUGGUCUGAGAGGAUGAUCAGCCACACUGGGACUGAGACACGGCCCAGACUCCUACGGGAGGCAGCAGUGGGGAAUGUUGGACAAUGGGCGAAAGCCUGAUCCAGCAAUGCCGCGUGAGUGAUGAAGGCCUUAGGGUUGUAAAGCUCUUUUACCAGGGAUGAUAAUGACAGUACCUGGAGAAUAAGCUCCGGCUAACUCCGUGCCAGCAGCCGCAGUAA